Molecule: non-coding RNA, 269 nt
Organism: Pelobates cultripes (western spadefoot toad)
Lineage: Eukaryota; Metazoa; Chordata; Amphibia; Anura; Pelobatidae
Source: the annotation of a GenBank genome assembly
AAAACUAAGUAUUAUGUGCAUGGGAAUUAAGAGGCUAGUUAGUAGACAGGUGCUGCUAAUCAAUACCCUUGAUUAAUUGAACAUCAGCAAGUGUGACCCCCUCUACAAAAGUCAAUGUUUUAGCCGUUGGCUAGUUUGGAGAGUUCAGGUGUGUGUUAAAGGGACACUCCAGGCCCCCAGACCACUUAUGCCCAUUGGAGUGGUCUGGGUGCCAACUCCAAUGCAGCUGUAAUUAUUGCAGCACCUGUCUAUUAUUGCAGGGACUUAAC